GCCGCCUCCUCUCUCCCUCCCUCCCGCAGCCGCCUCCCUCCCUCCCACCCACCCACAUCGCCGCUGCCGCCACCCACGCGCGUGCGAGAUGCGUCGCCGCCGCCGCCAUCGCCAUCCUCCAUCGCCCCCAUCUCGCCCGCCUCCCCCACAUUCCCAUCUCGGUCAGCAUCCCCGUGGCCGGCGCUGGCACUAGCAGCUGCAGGAGGAGGUGUGGGUUAGCGGCGGUGGGGCCAGCAACAGCAGCAGCGACAGACGGGCGGGUGCUGGGCCACCGGCCCGUGGAGGACGUGUGCAAGGUGUGCGUGGUGCGCGGCGCGGCGGCGCAGGAGCGGGGGGAGGCGCUGCGGGCGAUGGAGACGUGGUCGUCGCAUCACCAUCGACGGGAGGAGCGCAGGAACUGCGAGCUCCCCUUCGGCGACCAGGCCUUCUCCUCCUUUGCUCUUGGCAGCCACCGCUGCGCUCCCGUCAGCGCCGUCCUUGAGGUCUCACCUGCGUUCCAGGUUUGCUUCCUCUUGGAAGACAUGGGUGAAUCUGAGGAUGGAACGCAAGCUCCAUUAUGCUUCUCAACACUCAGCCCCCCUCCCCCCCCCCCCCCCCCCCCCCCCCCCCCCCCCUUCUCUUUCUCUCUGAUCCGUGUUUUCUUUCUUAUAGUCAUUGUUGAUGCAUGAUUUGUUCAGAGAGGAUUUUCUCUGUAGCCUACAAGCUUUACAUUUCCCAACUGAGCUUAUAUUUCUGUUAAAUCACUAAUAGUAGGGUAUUUUCAACUAAAAAAUAAUAUAAAUAGCAUGGUAUUCUAACCCGCAGUUCUAGGCUGUGCAUAGUGAAAACUACUCCCUCCCUUCCUAAAUAUAAGGUGUAUUAGUUUUUUAAAAAGUCAACCGUUGUAUCUGUUUGACCAACUUCACAAUAAAAUAUAUAAAUAUUUACAAUACUUAAUAUAUAAAAUAUAUAAAUAUAUUUUGUAUCAACAGUUCAUUCAUGAGAAACAUUUAAAUUGCUUUAUCCAUGCGAUGGACAUUUAUUUGAUUGCAUAUGCUUGGUACACUCUUUCUGAGACACUGUUGCUAAACUAUAUUUAGAAAUAACUCAUGCACACUAAUUCCAUACUUGAAUGGUUAAUGGGCUCACUGUUCAAUAGUAGAAUUUCUACUUUUGUUUCUCUGUUAUUUGGUUUAUCUUCAGGCACUACCAAUAUACUGAACUAUGACUAAAAUUAUUUGGCAAACUUCAUGAGUGAGUUGAGAUUGAAGGUUAUUACUGGCUAUUGAUGUGAUGGCACCUGUCAUGGCAAACUUCACGAGUGACCAAAUAUCAGGUGGACCAGGAUCUGUGGGCUUUGUUCUAUUCGUCGGUCACCCUUGCCUUGGCACUAGCCGUGCAAUGGAAGAGGAGUGUGGUUAGGGUUUGGUUGUGCUUUCAAGAUCCGUUGAUGUCGUACAUGCUGUGGAACUUUGUCGUGUUUGUUGUCUGUUGCCGUUGUUAGGGUCUGCUCUUCUCUGGACUACGGUUCAAUAGAAAUAACUCAUGCAUUGCUAAUUCCCUACUUGAAAGCUACUGCUGUGAAGGCACCUGUCAUGGCAAACUUCACGAGUGAGCAAAUAUCAGUAGGAUGCUUUACAGGGUGUCGGUUGUAGAGACGGAAGAGGAGGUUGAUACAUCCUCGGCGCCUGCUGCAGCGACCACGACCACAUGUAUCUAAAAGAGAGGGCCCUCGCUUGAGUGAGAGUAGUGCCAGUGAUUCCCGAGGUAGUUCACCUCUGAAAAUCAGCUAUCUACUAUUGGUGUCAACAUAUUGCUCCAAAUUCCCACAAUCUAAUUAGUGUUCUAUGCAGACCAACACUUUUGGGUUUUGGCUAAUCUCCCAAUAGUUCCUAAAUAGUAAUCUUGUCUGACCAUUGACCUUUUGAGUUCUGCCUUAAAAGAGCAUCUCCAUGCAGAUAUAUAACAUGAUGGUCUUGGAUUCUUAUGGGUUUGAUAAUUUAGUUUUUUAUAUGAUCAUAUGAGGUCAUAUUUUAUUCGAGCAAGUAUGGCAUAUAUUUGUAGCACUAGGACGUUGCAGGUACAAAAAGGGAAAAUGUUAGCACUCUUAGAAUUAGCUUGUAAAUUUUGGAUGAGCUCCUAAUUAAUAUCAUAACCAUGAUGUAAAUGCGAGCAUCCAGCCAGGAUUUACCAGCAAGAACAAACAAUAGAGACAUGGUCUUUGUCAGUUAUGCACAUAAAAAGAACUCAUGUAGGAGUCUGACUUGGAUAUUUAGGUGUAGUCCAACACAAAUGAAGAGAGAGUAUAACUUGAUGCUAACUACUCAUGAAUGGAAACAAAAACACCAGAGAGAAUAAUUAACCUUUCCCCCUAGCUUAAGUUUUUAAUUGAGAUGGCAUUUCAUCCUAUUAUUCUGGUUUUAUACGUGUUGCUCAUGGAUUUAAUUGAUUUUGCACAGGCCGAGAUAAUACUGAUGCUCAAUCAUUCUUGUGGUUGGUUUCCUUUAUGCCUGUACAAAUAUACGUGUUCAGAUUCUGGUUCAAUUGCUCAAUACAUUUGGGUUAUUUUUCUCUAUAGUUGUUAAGUGGUUGAUCCACUCGAUGCACAUACGGACAUAUGUGUUCAGUUUAUAUGGUUUAAUUGCUUAAUUAUUUUGGCCAUUUUUCUAUUUUAGUUGAUAAGCAGUUAAUUAAGGUAAUGCGAUGCUCUUCUGGUUUUUGUUAUCUUAUCAAUGGAUUCAUUGGUGCUAAGAACAUGUACUCUCUCUGGAUGUAUGAUGCAACCGUUUCCUACUGUUAAUUAGUGAUACUUACACUCUUGAUUAUGUCAGAUUAUGCCAGAUGUGACCUUCUACUUAACUGUAAUAUUUAGUCGGUAUAAAAUGCUGACGUCCAGAAAUAUCAAGGAUUUUGAGAUGCAUAUUUAGGCUUGAAACUAAUAUUGCCAAAACUUUUGUACAUAUAACGACCCCUUUUACUUUUUUUCUGCUUCUAGGUGAUGAUGUACAGACCUUCUGAACUAGGUUAAACAUACGAGAUAUCCAGGAGAAAAGGCAGCUAAAUGAUGGCUUUAUUUAGUUCUAUUUAUCUACACAAAGAUCAUGUGUGCUCAAGUACAAAAGGAAAUCCUGGUAUGAACUGGAUAUAUUGUUGAAUCUUCUGGUGUUUUUACAAUGAUUAAGAAAGCAUCGGUACGCUUGAAGGUCCAUGCUCUAGCUGCCGCAGCCUACAGGCCAUACGUCAUUGUUUGAUCACUCAGGAAAAGGAUCUCCAACCAGGAUGCAUCAAGGCAUAUGCUAGGGGAAACAAAUCGCGAACAAGCUUGGUGAACCCUCCGUGGAGGAGGCCGCCUGGCUGUGGAGGUCUAAAGACAAUGUUGAUGCCAUGGUGGACAAGAUGCAAGAUCUAGAAGCCGUUUGCACGAUGUGUAUCAUAGCUGCAUCGAGGAGGAACAGACGGGGAAGUUGUUGGGCGGUAGCCCACCAAAUUCAAGUCUGUCACCUAUGACGCCGAGGACGUGCUGAACGAUUUGGACGCUGCAGAUGUAUGUAUUAAAGAAGAGCCAAUCAAAGGUACUCCCUUGGUGCACUCUCCAGGUCAAAGAUCUGGUCUACCAACAAGUGAUUCACGUGGAGUAACACACUGACAUGGCAUGUAUUGGACACAGUUAUGUUAUCUACGAAGGCAUUCUUAGUUU
Molecule: long non-coding RNA, 3676 nt
Organism: Triticum aestivum (bread wheat)
Lineage: Eukaryota; Viridiplantae; Streptophyta; Magnoliopsida; Poales; Poaceae
Exons: 10
Source: RefSeq, a predicted model, not a curated record